AGGAUAAACGCUGGCGGCGUGCCUAACACAUGCAAGUCGAACGCGCUUUCGGGCUUCGGUGCGAGAGCGAGUGGCGGACGGGUGAGUAACACAUGGGUACCUACCUUGGAGUGAGGGAUACCGGCGAGAAAUCGCCGACAAUACCGCAUAGGCUUCUUCACAAGGGAAGCAAAGUGACGCGAGUCACGCUGUGAGAUGGGCCUGUGGCCGAUUAGCUAGUUGGGGGGGUAACGGCUUCCCAAGGCGACGAUCGGUAGCUGGUCUGAGAGGACGAUCAGCCACACUGGGAUUGAGAACGGCCCAGACUCCUACGGGGGGCAGCAGUGAGGAAUUUUCCGCAAUGGAGGCAACUCUGACGGAGCAACGCCGCGUGCAGGAGGAAGGUUUUCGGAUCGUAAACUGCUUUUCGUCGGGGACGAGCAAGGACGGUACCCGAGGAAGAGCCCCGGCUAACUACGCGCCAGCAGCCGC
This 471-nucleotide ribosomal RNA is filed under the name uncultured bacterium. Its description in RNAcentral is "SSU rRNA". It matches the Rfam family "Bacterial small subunit ribosomal RNA", at positions 26 to 518 of the family's 1533-position model. The record is from RNAcentral.